AUUGAACGCUGGCGGCAGGCCUAACACAUGCAAGUCGAGCGGAUGAAGGGAGCUUGCUCCUGGAUUCAGCGGCGGACGGGUGAGUAAUGCCUAGGAAUCUGCCUGGUAGUUGGGGAUAACGUCCGGAAACGGGCGCUAAUAUCGCAUACGUCCUGAGGGAGAAAGUGGGGGUUCUUCGGACCUCACGCUAUCAGAUGAGCCUAGGUCGGAUUAGCUAGUUGGUGGGGUAAAGGCCUACCAAGGCGACGAUCCGUAACUGGUCUGAGAGGAUGAUCAGUCACACUGGAACUGAGACACGGUCCAGACUCCUACGGGAGGCAGCAGUGGGGAAUAUUGGACAAAGGGCGAAAGCCUGAUCCAGCCAUGCCGCGUGUGUGAAGAAGGUCUUCGGAUUGUAAAGCACUUUAAGUUGGGAGGAAGGGCAGUAAGUUAAUACCUUGCUGUUUUGACGUUACCAACAGAAUAAGCACCGGCUAACUUCGUG
This 484-nucleotide ribosomal RNA is filed under the name uncultured bacterium. RNAcentral describes it as "partial 16S ribosomal RNA". It matches the Rfam family "Bacterial small subunit ribosomal RNA", at positions 30 to 507 of the family's 1533-position model. The record is from RNAcentral.